UACGGAGGGGGCUAGCGUUGUUCGGAAUUACUGGGCGUAAAGCGCACGUAGGCGGCUUUGUAAGUUAGAGGUGAAAGCCCGGGGCUCAACUCCGGAAUUGCCUUUAAGACUGCAUCGCUCGAAUUGUGGAGAGGUAAGUGGAAUUCCGAGUGUAGAGGUGAAAUUCGUAGAUAUUCGGAAGAACACCAGUGGCGAAGGCGGCUCACUGGCUCGUUUCUGACGCUCAGGCGCGACAGCGUGGGGAUCAAACAGG
Molecule: ribosomal RNA, 253 nt
Filed under: uncultured bacterium
Lineage: Bacteria
Description: partial 16S ribosomal RNA
Rfam family: Bacterial small subunit ribosomal RNA
Source: RNAcentral